CAGUCGCCGCGGUAAUACGUAGGUGGCAAGCGUUGUCCGGAAUUAUUGGGCGUAAAGGGCUCGCAGGCGGUUUCUUAAGUCUGAUGUGAAAGCCCCCGGCUCAACCGGGGAGGGUCAUUGGAAACUGGGAAACUUGAGUGCAGAAGAGGAGAGUGGAAUUCCACGUGUAGCGGUGAAAUGCGUAGAGAUGUGGAGGAACACCAGUGGCGAAGGCGACUCUCUGGUCUGUAACUGACGCUGAGGAGCGAAAGCGUGGGGAGCGAACAGGAUUAGAGACCCCCGUAGUCCCUGUCUCUUAUAA
This 301-nucleotide ribosomal RNA is filed under the name uncultured bacterium. RNAcentral describes it as "partial 16S ribosomal RNA". It matches the Rfam family "Bacterial small subunit ribosomal RNA", at positions 509 to 809 of the family's 1533-position model. The record is from RNAcentral.